GAGGUGACAGAGGAAGCACAGAGCGGUGCCACCCGUGUAAGGAGGGGAAGAAGGAAGCCUGUCUAAACGGCUGCACAGGGGCUCUCGGAACAGAACUGAAGGAACUCACGCAGUGCUCGUCCGUGAAGCUGACAGAGGGAACCUGGAGAAGGCCCCAGUAGGCUGUUCCCACUCCUGCCCACCUGAGCAGCAGAGCACGACCGCCAGAGCCUGGGCCUUUCAAGACCUAUCAGCCCGCAGCAAUGACGGAGAGCCCAAAGGCAGGUGCUGAUUCGGAACUUGUGACAUGCGUGGUCACGACGGAGCACCUCCCGCUGGGCCGACCCAAACGUUUAACCAGCAGAUCUGCCUGCCUGCUGCCUGCCCCUGCAGCCCCCUGGGGUCCCUCUGGUGAUGAGCUUCAAGUCUGCCGUGGGAGCCUUGGGGGCUCUGAGACGGGCAGGAGAUUUGACAGAUGAAAAGAUCACCGAUAUGGCAGGAAGCGUGGAUGCUGACGGAUGAGGAGGAGAUCACCGAUCAGCAGGAAGCGUGGAAUUCUGUGAUCCCGCACUGCUCCUCCAUGCAGAGCUCUUCGCGGUCCCCAGACACGGCUGUCUUCAGAGGAAGAGGAGUCCUGGCAGCCGCAGCAGAGCGCUGACCCCCUCAGUGGUCUGCUGACCAAACAGCAUGGCUCUGGUCUCCAGGCUGGCCACUUGGAAAGGAGUUUUGCCAGAGGGACCUUGGAGCCACAUGUGUGGCCCCAGGAUGGCGAGGAUGAGGCCCCUGCUGAGCUGAUACUCAUUCCAUAAGGACUGGUUAGUCACUCAGCAAACCCUCCACGUGCCUGCCGUGGGCUUCCCCCUCCCCCAGGCACCGCUGGCCCCCCUGAGCUCAAGGUGUGGUAGAACCCCUCCCAUGUGGCAUGGUGCCAAGACUGAUGGGUGUACCAGCCGUGUCUGUGCCAUGCUGUGAGGAGCAUGAGGCCACAGCCAGGUCUGAAACGCAGCACCCGGAACCAAGCAGACUGUGAAACUCGGGCCGACGUGAUAAGGAGGCCAGGCUACAACUCGCUCUGCUUUCAAGAAGAGAGACUUUAGAGAACUGGUAUCAAAGACGCUUGCUGUGUUUGCAGGAUCACAUGGGAACUUGGCUGUAAAUAUUUCUGUGCCGAGGCAGCACCGCGUCGCACAGGGCCCGUGAGGGCCUGCGGGUUUGAUUUACCCUUUCCAGGAUGCCUGCAACAUUUCUUGGAUGUGAAAGUUUGUUCUGAGCACGAUAGCUGGAAAACCACUGUCCGUGUCCUCUGACGCAGCUGCUGCAGGGGGGGAGCUUUGCUGAGCAGACCAUGUCACCUCCAAAGUGAUGAAGAGGGGAUGCCCUACAGGGUCCUGCGGAUAAACGCUGCUGGCAUCUGGCCAUGGCGGAAAGACAGCCUCUGGGCGGAAGGGCAUGACAGUAGUCUCAGCAGCGGCUGGAGAUGAGCCCACAGGUUGUCUUCCCCAGCGGGGAUGUUCGCUCUCGGGGGAGGGUGGGUCAGAGGAGGAUACACAGGCUGCCGGCAGUGGCCAGAAGCAAUGUCCAGCCUCCUCUCCCCAGCUCCUGGAAGCAGAUUCCAGCAGGGAACAGGGAGCUUGUCCGGUCACUGGCUAAUGCUCCACAUGACGGCCAUCUGCCAGGCUCUAGGAGGUGAGAAUUCCUCCACAAAUUAAUCUCAUGCCCAGAAACGCAUCAUUGCCACUGACCAGGAUGGAGACGUACAGGUUCCUCUAAAGAAACCUACAUUCCAGCUUAAUGAUUAUACUCAGAUGGCUACCUAAGAACUAAUUGUUCAACUGACUCAUCACAGACCCGUGCAUGUGCCCAGCUUUCCCUGGAGACCCGGGCCCCCGGUACUUGCAUCUUGAGUUAAAGAAGAAUCAUCAGCCACGUAAGUGAGGACACACGUUUGCCGAGAAGCCCCCAGGUCUCUGUUCACCGCAGUGUUUACUCAGAGGACACAGGAAAACACACACACACACACACACACACACACACACCCCUGGGAGUCCUUGCAAAUGGCCCCAGGCUUCAUGAAAGGCCUCGAUGGUGACAGUUGGGACAUGUUACUUUGGGGAUAGCCCAAUGGCUAUGAAAUUAAUUUUCUGAGCUCCUGAGAAACUUGCCUUCCUAAAAACCAUGAUGGAUGCAGAUGAACAAGGUGCUGAGCGGCCUGGAGUGGGCCCAGAGGUGGCAGCUGCACUCCUAACUCUGGCCGGGUGAGGAGCCCUAUCCAGGCAGCCACUGUGGGGGUCGGAGGAGCACUCAGGGGGCGUGUGGGUCCUGGAAGUCGCCAGAGCCCUGCAGUUCUGUGAAUGUGACACCAGGACCUGUCCCCCCGGGGCCUGGAGGGCUUAGAGGGAGGGGCCCUAAAAACCCUCAUUCUCAGAAAUGCCGGCUGUUCCUCAUGUGCAUGAAUUCCUCAAACUCACCCUGGCAGGGGCUGCUGCUGCUCUGCUAUGAAGCCCAGGGGAUGUGACCCUCAAGGAUGGGACCUGGGGCACUGUCCUCAGAGUGUCUGUCCCCUCAGAGGCAUGAUUGGCCCAGUGAGCACACUGCUCAGCCUUAAGGAGGCGAUGAGCUCGUUUGAGGAACAGAGAGAGAAGUCAUUUGUCCAGGAUCAGCAGCUCUAAGAACGCAUGAACCCAAGCUGACGGCGGCCGGCCUCCUGCCCCAUGCGGAGGAGCUGCCUGCGAGUGAGGCCACACAGGCGGGGUGGGGGGCCAGUGAACUGUGUGGAUCUCUAGAUCCACCGUCAGCUGCAGCCCGAUCUUUAUAAUGUUUUAAAUGUCAUUUUGUCUGAUUUAGUCUGGCCUUGGUUUUUAUUACUUGGAA
Molecule: long non-coding RNA, 2850 nt
Filed under: Aotus nancymaae (Ma's night monkey)
Lineage: Eukaryota; Metazoa; Chordata; Mammalia; Primates; Aotidae
Description: lncRNA (ENSANAG00000038767.1)
Source: RNAcentral